Molecule: transfer RNA, 72 nt
Filed under: Camelus bactrianus (Bactrian camel)
Lineage: Eukaryota; Metazoa; Chordata; Mammalia; Artiodactyla; Camelidae
Also listed under: 2 other names
Rfam family: tRNA
About the family: Transfer RNA (tRNA) molecules are approximately 80 nucleotides in length. Their secondary structure includes four short double-helical elements and three loops (D, anti-codon, and T loops).
Source: Rfam by way of RNAcentral
GCAGGUAUAGCUCAGUGGUAUAUCGCAUGCUUAGGAUGCAUGAGGUUCUGGGUUCAAUUCCCAGUACCUCCA